UGAAUUAAGUAUUACAACGGAAGAGUGCUUAAUACAUAAAAAAUCCAAAUGGAUAUAUUGUAAUAUACUACCAAACAAUCAUAGAUGAAAUAACAAACAGUUAUUUCGUCUCUCUUUUAUUUGUUAUAAACUUUGGUUCAUACAAAUAAUCAUCCGCUGGGUGUUAUAUAUAUUUUAAAUUUGUGAGUUAACACAUUUCCAUAUACAGUUAUUAUAUACAUAAAUAAAAAAAAAAAAAACUUAAAAUACACACAUACAGCCACCUGUUCCUAAAGUAAGCAAUUAAAUGCUUGUGUUACAGGUAACAGAUGACUGAUAUAGCUACAUUUUUUUCCGAUAGAUAUACGAUAUUUAUUAUAUAUAUUCUAUAGUUAUUAAUAUAUUAAAAACUUAAUUAUGUAAUAGACCCAGACUAAGGUGGGAAUCGAAUCCACAAACCGCGGAGCAAAAACCUGGGCCAAUACAAACUGCGCCAACUGGCUUAUCAAAUACAUGUACCUAAUUAUUUUAAUUUGUUGGUAUUAUAAAAUAUUACGUUUCUUAUAAUGUAAAUCUGUUUUAUAAAUAAAUAAGUUCCUAAUAUAACAAAUUCAACGUUGAAUAAAUCUUACUUUUAUAAUUGUUAUAUCUACUAGUAGAUACCCAAUAAAAUUCGUAAAUUACGUAUAUUGAAACAAUUUUAGUAUCUUCUUUCUCAUUUUAAAUAUAUCGUUACAAACUAAAAAAUCACAAAAAGCGUACCUAUUACAAAAAUAUUUUUAUACAAUCAUGAAUACAAAUAUAUGUAUAUUAGUAGAUAUCUAGAUACUUUUAAUUAUCAAUUGUAAUUCCUGUUCGUUCUGUCGUCCCAUUCUGCCUGUUUUAACAUACGGUGCCGAAACGUAGACACUGACGAAGGGACUAGUCCACAAGUUUAAAGUCACUCAACGUGCAAUGGAACGGGCUAUGGUUGGGUUUCUCUCUCAAAUAUAGGAAUAAAAAUGAGACUAUCCGCGAGAGGGCCGAGAAAGUAAUCGAUAUAGUUUAUAGAAUUAGCAAGUAGAAGUGGCGGUGGGCUGGUUACUUGUAUCACAGGACCGAUGGCUGUUGGUGGAUACGCCGGCUGGAGUGAAGACCGUGUUUUGAUAAACGCAAUGUGGGACGCUUUUCGGCCCACUGGACCGACGAUCUAGGUAAGACCUCUAGUGGGGGGCUGGAUGAUUGCGGAGAACCGGGAAGCUUGGCGCAAACUUGGGAGAGGCCUAUGUCCAGCAGUGGACUGUGAUAGGCUGGAAGCGAUAUAUUGUACAUUGACGAUUCUUACGAUUAUAUAAUUUUUUACAGCUAUUACAUGAGUACUUACAUUUUUUUCGAACAGCAACAUUUUAUACAACAACAUUUAUUAUUUAUUAUUAUUUAUAAAAUUCGGAUAAUCUAGCUC
This 1420-nucleotide unclassified non-coding RNA is filed under the name Melitaea cinxia (Glanville fritillary). Its description in RNAcentral is "misc RNA ENSMCXG00005000296.1". The record is from RNAcentral. Lineage: Eukaryota; Metazoa; Arthropoda; Insecta; Lepidoptera; Nymphalidae.